RNAcentral lists this ribosomal RNA (953 nucleotides) under uncultured Bacillota bacterium. RNAcentral's name for it is "bacterial SSU rRNA". It matches the Rfam family "Bacterial small subunit ribosomal RNA", at positions 1 to 917 of the family's 1533-position model. Lineage: Bacteria; Bacillati; Bacillota. The record is from RNAcentral.
UGGAUCCAGACUUUGAUCCUGGCUCAGGAUAAACGCUGGCGGCGCACAUAAGACAUGCAAGUCGAACGGAAGUCGUUGUAAUGAUUUUGACAUGGACAGAGAACUUGUUCGAAGAAAGUGAGGAUUGACUUACAACAAUGGCUUUAGUGGCGGACUGGUGAGUAACGCGUGAGCAACCUGCCUGUUAGAGGGGAAUAACAGUGAGAAAUCAUUGCUAAUACCGCAUAUGCCAUAGUUACCACAUGGUAACAGUGGGAAAGGAGCAAUCCGCUAACAGAUGGGCUCGCGUCUGAUUAGAUAGUUGGUGGGGUAACGGCCUACCAAGUCAACGAUCAGUAGCCGGACUGAGAGGUUGAACGGCCACAUUGGGACUGAGAUACGGCCCAGACUCCUACGGGAGGCAGCAGUCGGGAAUAUUGCGCAAUGGAGGAAACUCUGACGCAGUGACGCCGCGUAUAGGAAGAAGGUCUUCGGAUUGUAAACUAUUGUCGUUAGGGAAGAAAAAGGACAGUACCUAAGGAGGAAGCUCCGGCUAACUACGUGCCAGCAGCCGCGGUAAUACGUAGGGAGCAAGCGUUAUCCGGAUUUAUUGGGUGUAAAGGGUGCGUAGACGGGAUAAUAAGUUAGUUGUGAAAUCCCUCGGCUCAACUGAGGAACUGCAACUAAAACUGUUAUUCUUGAGUGUUGGAGAGGAAAGCGGAAUUCCUAGUGUAGCGGUGAAAUGCGUAGAUAUUAGGAGGAACACCAGUGGCGAAGGCGGCUUUCUGGACAAUAACUGACGUUGAGGCACGAAAGUGUGGGGAGCAAACAGGAUUAGAUACCCUGGUAGUCCACACCGUAAACGAUGAAUACUAGGUGUAGGUUGUGUCAUGCAAUCUGUGCCGUCGCAAACGCAGUAAGUAUUCCACCUGGGGAGUACGGCCGCAAGGUUGCAACUCAAAUGAAUUGACGGA